RNAcentral lists this ribosomal RNA (238 nucleotides) under uncultured bacterium. Its description in RNAcentral is "partial 16S ribosomal RNA". It matches the Rfam family "Bacterial small subunit ribosomal RNA", at positions 15 to 245 of the family's 1533-position model. The record is from RNAcentral.
GAUCAUGGCUCAGGAUGAACGCUAGCUACAGGCUUAACACAUGCAAGUCGAGGGGCAGCAUGAACUUAGCUUGCUAAGUUUGAUGGCGACCGGCGCACGGGUGAGUAACACGUAUCCAACCUGUCGAUGACUCGGGGAUAGCCUUUCGAAAGAAAGAUUAAUACCCGAUGGCAUAGUUCUUCCGCAUGGUAGAACUAUUAAAGAAUUCCGGUCAUCGAUGGGGAUGCGUUCCAUUAGG